GGCAAUGGGGGAAACCCUGACCGAGCAACGCCGCGUGUGCGAUGGAGUCCCUCAGGGACGUGAAGCACUGUGGGGGGCCGCCAAACGGGCGGGCAGGAAAUGGCCCGUCCCCGAGGAGCCCCCUAGAAAGCGACUGCUAACCACGUGCCAGCAGCAGCGGUAAUACGUGGGUCGCAAGCGUUAUCCGGAAUCAUUGGGCGUAAAGAGUGAGCAGGCGGUCCGGGAAGUCCGCGGUGAAAUGCGGGGGCUCAACCCCCGCAGGCCGCGGAUACUUCCGGUCUGGGGUGCGGGAGAGGCGGACGGAACUCCGCGUGUAGCGGUGAAAUGCACUGAUACGCGGAAGAACACCGGUGGCGAAGGCGGUCCGCCAGACCGAUACCGACGCUCAGUCACGAAAGCGUGGGGAGCAAAUAGGAUUAGAUACCCUAGUAGUCCACGCCGUAAACGAUGGGGGCCAGGGCGCGGGGUCGACCCGCGUCCGAAGCAAACGCAUUAAGCCCCCCGCCUGGGUACUACGUUCGCAAGAAUAAAACUUAAAGGAAUUGGCGGGUGCCCGCACAAGCAGUGGAGCAUGCGGUUCAAUUCGUGGCUACACGAAGAACCUUACCAGGGUUUGACAUGCCGGCAAAGGCCCCGGAGACGGGGAGAUAGCUAUGCCGGACAAAGGUGGUGCAUGGCUGUCGUCAGCUCGUGUCGUGAGAUGUUAGGUCAAGUCCUCCAACGAGCGCGACCCCCGCCGCCAGUUGCCAUCAUCGAGUUGGGCACUCUGGCGGGACCGCCGGCGACAAGCCGGAGGAAGGCGGGGAUGACGUCAAGUCAUCAUGCCCCUUAUGCCCUGGGCCACACGCGUGCUACAAUGGCCGGCACAGUGGGAAGCGACGCCGCGAGGCGGAGCGGAUCCCAAAAGCCGGUCCCAGUACGGACCGGGGGCUGCAACCCGCCCCCGCGAAGCUGGAAUUGCUAGUAAUCGCGGAUCAGCCAAGCCGCGGUGAAUGCGUUCUCGGGCAUUGCACACACUGCCCGUCACACCAUGAAAGCCUGCAACGCUCUAAGUCGCCAGCCCGACCUGCGAGGGGGGGCGGCGCCCAAGGCGGGGCCGGUGAUUGGGGUUAAGUCGAAACAAGGUAUCCCUACGAGAACGUGGGGAUG
This 1149-nucleotide ribosomal RNA is filed under the name human gut metagenome. RNAcentral describes it as "bacterial SSU rRNA". It matches the Rfam family "Bacterial small subunit ribosomal RNA", at positions 367 to 1520 of the family's 1533-position model. The record is from RNAcentral.